AUGCCCACUUUGGCAGCAUGUAUACUAACAGUGGAACAAUACUGAGAAGAUUAGCAUGGCCCCUGCAUAAGGAUGACAUGCAAAUUUGUGAAGCAUUCCAUAUUUAU
This 107-nucleotide small nuclear RNA is filed under the name Phascolarctos cinereus (koala). Lineage: Eukaryota; Metazoa; Chordata; Mammalia; Diprotodontia; Phascolarctidae. The record is from RNAcentral.